AGGUAGUAAUAAAAUUUUUAUAAAACCUUUAAAUUAUGGCGGCAUUUUAUCUAAUUAGAGGAAUUUGUUUUUUAAUCGAUAAUACACGAUAAAUUUUACUUUUUUAUAAAUUUUAUAUACCUCCAUUUUAAGAAUUAAUUAAUAAAUACUAUUCAAAAAAAUAUAUAAAAAAAUAGGUAAAGGUGUAGACCACAAAAAAGUUAAAAUGGAUUACAUUAAAUUUAAUUUAAGGAUUUAAUCUUAAAAAAUUUUUAAAAAAGGAUUUAUAAGUAAAAAUUAAAUAAUAUUUUAUUUUGAAUAAGAUAAUAAAUGUGC
RNAcentral lists this ribosomal RNA (315 nucleotides) under Linyphia sp. GH41. RNAcentral's name for it is "partial 12S ribosomal RNA". Lineage: Eukaryota; Metazoa; Arthropoda; Arachnida; Araneae; Linyphiidae. The record is from RNAcentral.